GAACAAGGCCUUCCUGUUCCUAGGUGAAGAGUUUUGGCCUUUCAGCAACCCAGUGGGUGCAAGGACUAUGUUCUGAGAACAGCAACCCUGCACAUUUAGAAAAUCUACGGGGUCAGCAUCAAGAACAUCCUUGGAGGAGGAGACAGACUCAGAGUGCACCUCAGUAACUUGCCAGAUGAAACCAACGGAUGGGUUAAGUGAGGUACCGAAUGGGAAUGGCCUUAUGCGAUACUGCCUUGAUUUAACAGUGUUUGAUUGGCAUGAAGCGGUCCUGAUCUGUGACCCAUGGCAAACGCUUCAGGGUCACUUUAUUCAGAUGCCGAGGAUCUCUUCCUUGGGUGGCAUUUCCCUCAGUUCUUAAGUUUCCAGUGUCGUUCCAAAAUGGGUCACACAGGAAGGAGAUGUGAGAAACUGACUAGAUUUGAUACUGAGAGGUCAUCUUUGCAUGUCACAUCACAUCAAAAGGCAACCCUGGGAUCUGCUCACACGUCAGUUUGGGCCAGUCUCUAAGAAAAGGCUUUUCUUAGCUUGGUAGGAAAUGCAGAAGAGAGCAAGGAGAAGAGGGAAAAUAUUUUCCCUACCUAGCUUAUUUAAUUACAUUGUUUCACAAGCCAGCCCCUCUCUAAAAAUUACUAUUGUGCAAAUGCUUCCAACAUCGUUUGCUGCCUGCUGCUUAUGAUUUAGCAUAAAUUCGCCAGAUGCAAAUCAUGUAAUUCAUCAGCCUUGAGGUGACGUGAUAGCGGUGCCUCUGAAUCAGGAAAAGCCAGGGCGGAAGCCUCUGCUUCUCCUGGGUGGGUGUUGUGUUGCGCUUGCCGCUUGGGCUGAUGGGAAUACGUAUCGAUCAUAUGCAGGCCAGUUGCUGUGCCCAGGAGUCCACUGCAGCCUCCAGAAUGUGGACAACCGAGUUCUUGACAAAUUCCAGCCAGAGCUCAGCACCUGAGCAUCUCCAAGUGUUUCAUAGUUUGCCUCAGAUGCAUGCAAGAAGGCGUGUUCCCAUCCCAAGCUGGGAAAGGCCUCCUCCGCAAGAGAAGGCACAAAGACAGUUUGUGUGCCACCAGGAAAAUGCACAACCCACAGUACUCUUCAGAGGUCCCCAGUCUGCCAUAUCCAGGAUGGACAGAGAGCUUCCCUUAGCGUCCCUGCAAUAUAACGAGUCAUCUUGAAGAUGACUUCUCUGCAUCACAGGAAUGUCUGUCUGUUAAAGACGCCAAGAACUGUGCCCUUGAUGGAAAAUAGUAAUUGAGCCUUGAAAAGAUUUUGUUUUGUUUGUCUUUUCUAAUUCCGCUGUGAAACUCAGAGAAUGGGCCUCCAUUGCUGAUUAAAAAUCCUGGCAUUUGGAUGCUUUUUCCAGUGAAAGGUAUCUUCGUCGCGUACUUAGCUCCUUUGAACCCAACAGUUUGGCUCCUCGCCAUGUGUUUUCAAUGGCUUUUCUCAACCUAAACUCUCACGAAAUAGUUAAAAAUGCAAACAAGAUGCUAUGUUUCUCUUUGCAUAUCAUAUAUCAUCUCUUUCUGAUUUUGGAGUGUAUCCUUCCAUAGUACUGCAGCAAAUAAACAAGAGGAAGAAGAGCUAGGCAAGGAGUAAGACACCUGGGCCUGUCAUUGCUUCUGCUCCCUUCCUGGACUCUACUUGACCUGGCCUGAAGGAAGGGAGUUAGAGUACCCAUCACCUGCCACUGCAGGGGACGCGGGAAGCCUGCUGACAGAAUUCACAGGAAGGAAGAGACAUUUUACUGACCUUUCGGGGGCAGGAAACGCCCUCUGCUCUUUGACUGACAGCUUUGAGCUUUGGCCUAAGACGCCUAUUUGUUUUGGCUGAAGUUUAGAAUCUGGUUAAUGCCAGUUUUGUCACCAAGAAUCCGGCUAGAGACUAAACCUGUAAAAGGUGAAAAGCUCUGCUUUCUUGGGUAUUUCUGGGAUGCCCGCACGCCUACGAGGAUUCCUUUUGUGAUGAUUUGAGGGAAAUUGCUGCUGUACAGAGUAUUUGCUUUUUGUAAUCUAUGCUGUCUGCCCGCCGACUGUGUGUCCAGUGCCCAUGUGCUGACCUGGAAGGGCCGGCGAGCGGGCUGAGAAGGACCUCGAUUAGGAAACAAGCUACACCCAGAGCAGCUGCAAGCUGUGCUCUAAUACGUGGGUGGGAGUGAGGGUGUGCAAAUAAAGGGACUAGAAAGAUUCUGGUUUAA
Molecule: long non-coding RNA, 2182 nt
Organism: Apodemus sylvaticus (European woodmouse)
Lineage: Eukaryota; Metazoa; Chordata; Mammalia; Rodentia; Muridae
Exons: 4
Source: RefSeq, a predicted model, not a curated record